Molecule: small nuclear RNA, 22 nt
Filed under: Arabidopsis thaliana (thale cress)
Lineage: Eukaryota; Viridiplantae; Streptophyta; Magnoliopsida; Brassicales; Brassicaceae
Description: snRNA_00825
Source: RNAcentral
CGGGGGUCCCAGUUCCGAACCC